UGAUCCCAUGGCUCAGAUUGAACGCUGGCGGCAGGCCUAACACAUGCAAGUCGAGCGGCAGCACGGGUACUUGUACCUGGUGGCGAGCGGCGGACGGGUGAGUAAUGCCUAGGAAUCUGCCUGGUAGUGGGGGAUAACGCUCGGAAACGGACGCUAAUACCGCAUACGUCCUACGGGAGAAAGCAGGGGACCUUCGGGCCUUGCGCUAUCAGAUGAGCCUAGGUCGGAUUAGCUAGUUGGUGAGGUAAUGGCUCACCAAGGCGACGAUCCGUAACUGGUCUGAGAGGAUGAUCAGUCACACUGGAACUGAGACACGGUCCAGACUCCUACGGGAGGCAGCAGUGGGGAAUAUUGGACAAUGGGCGAAAGCCUGAUCCAGCCAUGCCGCGUGUGUGAAGAAGGUCUUCGGAUUGUAAAGCACUUUAAGUUGGGAGGAAGGGCAUUUACCUAAUACGUAAGUGUUUUGACGUUACCGACAGAAUAAGCACCG
RNAcentral lists this ribosomal RNA (490 nucleotides) under Pseudomonas sp. CL1.63. Its description in RNAcentral is "bacterial SSU rRNA". It matches the Rfam family "Bacterial small subunit ribosomal RNA", at positions 14 to 495 of the family's 1533-position model. Lineage: Bacteria; Pseudomonadati; Pseudomonadota; Gammaproteobacteria; Pseudomonadales; Pseudomonadaceae. The record is from RNAcentral.